Long non-coding RNA from Penaeus monodon (black tiger shrimp), 1458 nucleotides. RefSeq lists it as uncharacterized. The record is from RefSeq and is a predicted model, not a curated record. The transcript has 2 exons. Lineage: Eukaryota; Metazoa; Arthropoda; Malacostraca; Decapoda; Penaeidae.
AUAUACAUAUAUAUUUUAUUGUUAAACAAUAUUGGAAGUUUAUUUGUCUCCAGGCUUUAUGAAUUCCAUACAAUAUUGCAAGAAAACACCAAAUAUAUAUAUUAUUUUGUUUGUUUUUAAAGUGAAGAAUCACAAUAACUUUCAUAGUAAAGAGAAUAUAAGUAUAUUUGUGGGAUUAAAUGCAUAAUAUUUUUUCACAGCUAAUUGUAGGCUUCAAAGUGCCUUUCUUCAGUGCAGAGUUUCAGCACUUCAUGCUCAUAUUGAUGAGUGAAGAAAGUGAAGUUGUAAAGCAAAUUCGAAGUGAUUUUACACUGGGGCUUCUAAAUGACUGAGAGCUGUAAGUUUUUUGACUAAAACUACUUUACAAAUGGCAUUGUUUUUGAGGUUAUGUGGGAAGUCAAGACCACUAAAUUUUACAAAUUACAGUGAAAAUAAAAUGUGUAAUAAAUGUGUUAACAUUAACGGAGAGAUGGAAAAAAUGUCUGUUCUUAACACAGGAAAGGUAGAUCCCAAAGCCAUUACAUUGCUGAAAUCAUGGCACUGUACAGCUGUGCCACCAAUGCAACUUCGACAUGUAAGCAGUCUCUGUGUAAUAAAAUUUCCUAGGAUGAUAAUAUCCCAAAGAAAUAUGUGAAUGCAAGGUAUCUGUAAAUUCUUCAUUAUGCAUAUAUUUUCUGAAAGGUAGAAGAAAAUGAAACUCUUCCAAGAUAGACUGUUUGAUAUAACAACAAGUGAGAUUUCCCAUUGAUAAGAAAAAUGUGGCAAAAUAUACUGCAGUGCCCCACAGCUCUACCCUCCUGACUAGUGGAGCAAAGCAAUUGUUUUUUGCUUUUGUCUUUAGUGACAGCAUCAAGCAACAGAUCUGCAAUCAGCUUCUUACACUAGUCUGAAGAAAAGUCUAAGAUGUAGUCACAGGUUCAAAACAGCUACAAUAUUGAGAGAAAUUUAGUCCCUGGAAAGCAAAUGCAGUCACCCCCUCAACAAGCUUCAGUGAAAAUAGUCAGAUUUUAACUAAUGAUCCAAAAUGUAAUCACAAAUAAACGACUUGGGGCAUUUAAUUUGAAGAAAUAACUAUUUUUUUUUAUAAAUAGUUUACUUAGUGCAACCCUUGAGAUGUGUACCUCAUGUUCCACUCAUGUAGGAGUUUUGCAAGAUUGGAUAGAAGCUUAAAUGCUUUCCCUGGCUUUCUAUAAGCUACGUAGAUUGCUCUGUAAAUAAACGGGUCAAGUCAAGCAUCGUAAAAAAUCUGUACAUGGGUUACAGUGGGUGACAUUGCCAGUGUAAGAACAUCAACACGAAUGUAUCCCAUAGGUUCUGUUCUUCAGAAGAAAGGAUUGCUUUGUAAAGGAUUUGAUCGAAACACAGAGAACUGUGGAAACACAUUUAUUUGUGCCUUUUAUAAUUGGUUAUUAAACCAAAAUGUAUAGUAACAAAUUCUGAAUAAAUAUGACUCUUUUA